UCCCCCGAAUGAGGGCAGUCCUAUCAGACAAAUCUAACUGAUAGCGAGGGUUUCGCUCGUUUACCCACUUAAGGGCACAGCUCACGCCACGAGCUGACGACAGCCGUGCAACACCUGUCAUGCCGUUCCCAGCAGCCUAUCCCGAAUAUGUUCGAGAUACGAUGCUGGGCACGGUCCUGUUUCCAGGACGUUCGGCAGAUGUCAAGGCCUGGUAAGGUUCUCCGGUUAUCGUCGAAUUAAACCACAUGCUCCACCGCUUGUGCGAUCCCCCGUCAAUUCCUUUAUGUUUUAGCCUUGCGGCCGUACUUCACAGGCGGCACACUUAACGCGUUAGCUUCGCUACAAGAAGGGUCGAUGCUUCUGAUAGCUAGUGUGCAUCGUUUACGGCGUGGACUA
This 396-nucleotide unclassified non-coding RNA is filed under the name uncultured bacterium. Its description in RNAcentral is "contains 16S-23S intergenic spacer region". The record is from RNAcentral.